GGCGAUUUAGCUCAGUUGGUUAGAGCGUGUGCUUAACACUUGGACUGUCCCACAGUCGAGCGUUGCGCACAAGGUCGGCGGUUCGACCCCGUCAAACGUCA
This is a non-coding RNA of Apiotrichum porosum, 101 nucleotides long. Lineage: Eukaryota; Fungi; Basidiomycota; Tremellomycetes; Trichosporonales; Trichosporonaceae. The record is from the annotation of a RefSeq genome assembly.